This 496-nucleotide long non-coding RNA is filed under the name Phoenix dactylifera (date palm). RNAcentral describes it as "long non-coding RNA (PDAC_LNC023139)". The record is from RNAcentral. Lineage: Eukaryota; Viridiplantae; Streptophyta; Magnoliopsida; Arecales; Arecaceae.
CCUUCUUGUGUUCUUCCAACUUGCUAUGUUCCUUGCAAAAUAAAUAUCUUUCUCCUUGCAACACAAACAUUAGUAUUUAUACUUCAAGGUUUUGUGAUCAUCAAAAUCAAUCUUUAGGUCAUCAGAAAGGGGGAGCUUUAAAUUCCAAAAUUUAUUGCUUCACACCUUUCAAGCUUGGAUAUAUUAAAUUACCAGACAUUUGAAUUCAUUUAUGGAUUUUAUUUCCUUGUUUAUUGAGCAAUUCACUUUAUAUAUACUCAAAGUUUUGUCAUCAUCAAAAAGGGGGAGAUUGUGGAGUGAUUGAUUAAAACCCCUAUUUGAUUUUGAUGAGCUCAAAGCAUUUGAGUAUAUCUUAUGUUUACUAAUGAAUUCAAUUAAGUAUUUCAGUGAAAAUCGUGUCUAAGUGUUUCUAGACUUGGUUCAAGAUAUUUUGGAUAAGGUAUAAAGUCAGUUUGAACCAAAGUUUGAGACUCGAGUCGACUCCAGGAUAUUUACA